AUGGAUCUCGUUACAAAUUUCCUUCCCCCUUCCAAGGUCUCAGGUGGAGGCGCGCUACGUUUGUUGCCCCAUCAUUUCCUGCAUUUCAGACCACCGAAAAGUGAGGAGGUCUGGAUUUUUGCUCAGUUGAGGACGCACUUCAGAAAUACAGCUCCGAGCCAAGAGAAGAACACUUUUAACGCAUUGAGACAGGAUUCUCGAUUGCUGUUGGCUUUUAGGUGGUCUGUGUAAGAAGAACUGAUUGUUUCAAUCCAUUUCUAACUGGGAUGAUAACUCCCUUCUCGUCCUUUUGAUCUAACUCGUCCUUUUUUGGCAUCGCGCUGGGGAGACCAAGUCCUGAACAGGGAAUAAAACAGAGCUUUUUGCCA
RNAcentral lists this long non-coding RNA (368 nucleotides) under Struthio camelus australis. RNAcentral's name for it is "lncRNA (ENSSCUG00000003842.1)". Lineage: Eukaryota; Metazoa; Chordata; Aves; Struthioniformes; Struthionidae. The record is from RNAcentral.